This 444-nucleotide ribosomal RNA is filed under the name uncultured Anaerovorax sp. Its description in RNAcentral is "bacterial SSU rRNA". It matches the Rfam family "Bacterial small subunit ribosomal RNA", at positions 336 to 795 of the family's 1533-position model. Lineage: Bacteria; Bacillati; Bacillota; Clostridia; Peptostreptococcales; Anaerovoracaceae. The record is from RNAcentral.
UUCCUACGGGUGGCAGCAGUGAGGAAUAUUGCACAAUGGGCGAAAGCCUGAUGCAGCAACGCCGCGUGAGUGAUGAAGGCCUUUGGGUCGUAAAACUCUGUCCUUGGGGAAGAAAAAAAUGACGGUACCCUUGGAGGAAGCCCCGGCUAACUACGUGCCAGCAGCCGCGGUAAUACGUAGGGGGCAAGCGUUAUCCGGAAUUAUUGGGCGUAAAGAGUGCGUAGGUGGUUCUGUAAGCGUAGGGUGAAAGGGAGUAGCUCAACUAUUGUUAGCCCUGCGAACUGUGAGACUUGAGUGCAGGAGAGGAAAGUGGAAUUCCUAGUGUAGCGGUGAAAUGCGUAGAUAUUAGGAGGAACACCAGUGGCGAAGGCGACUUUCUGGACUGUAACUGACACUGAGGCACGAAAGCGUGGGUAGCAAACAGGAUUAGAUAACCGGGUAGUC